UACGUAGGGGGCAAGCGUUGUCCGGAUUUAUUGGGCGUAAAGAGCGUGUAGGCGGCCAGACAGGUCCGUUGUGAAAACUCGAGGCUCAACCUCGAGAUGUCGAUGGAAACCGUCUGGCUAGAGUCCGGAAGAGGAGUGUGGAAUUCCUGGUGUAGCGGUGAAAUGCGCAGAUAUCAGGAAGAACACCUAUGGCGAAGGCGGUUCUCUGGGACGGUACUGACGCUGAGACGCGAAAGCGUGGGGAGCGAACAGG
This 253-nucleotide ribosomal RNA is filed under the name uncultured bacterium. Its description in RNAcentral is "partial 16S ribosomal RNA". It matches the Rfam family "Bacterial small subunit ribosomal RNA", at positions 524 to 776 of the family's 1533-position model. The record is from RNAcentral.